UACGGGGGGGGCAAGCGUUGUUCGGAAUUAUUGGGCGUAAAGGGUUCGUAGGUGGCCGGCUAAGUCAGACGUGAAAUCCCUCAGCUUAACUGGGGAACUGCGUCUGAAACUGAUCGGCUUGAGUGCAGGAGAGGAACGCGGAAUUCCAGGUGUAGCAGUGAAAUGCGUAGAUAUCUGGAGGAACACCGGUGGCGAAGGCGGCGUUCUGGACUGCAACUGACACUGAGGAACGAAAGCCAGGGGAGCAAACGGG
Molecule: ribosomal RNA, 253 nt
Filed under: uncultured bacterium
Lineage: Bacteria
Description: partial 16S ribosomal RNA
Rfam family: Bacterial small subunit ribosomal RNA
Source: RNAcentral